ACAAUGAAGAGUUUGAUCCUGGCUCAGGAUGAACGCUAGCUACAGGCUUAACACAUGCAAGUCGAGGGGCAUCAUGCUUAUAGCAAUAUAAGUGAUGGCGACCGGCGCACGGGUGAGUAACACGUAUCCAACCUGCCGAUAACUCGGGGAUAGCCUUUCGAAAGAAAGAUUAAUACCCGAUGGUAUAAUAAAGCCGCAUGGUUUAAUUAUUAAAGAAUUUCGGUUAUCGAUGGGGAUGCGUUCCAUUAGGCAGUUGGUGAGGUAACGGCUCACCAAACCUUCGAUGGAUAGGGGUUCUGAGAGGAAGGUCCCCCACAUUGGAACUGAGACACGGUCCAAACUCCUACGGGAGGCAGCAGUGAGGAAUAUUGGUCAAUGGACGGGAGUCUGAACCAGCCAAGUAGCGUGAAGGAUGACUGCCCUAUGGGUUGUAAACUUCUUUUAUAUGGGAAUAAAGUGAUCCACGUGUGGAUUUUUGUAUGUACCAUAUGAAUAAGGAUCGGCUAACUCCGUGCCAGCAGCCGCGGUAAUACGGAGGAUCCGAGCGUUAUCCGGAUUUAUUGGGUUUAAAGGGAGCGUAGGUGGAC
This 587-nucleotide ribosomal RNA is filed under the name Bacteroides faecis. Its description in RNAcentral is "bacterial SSU rRNA". It matches the Rfam family "Bacterial small subunit ribosomal RNA", at positions 1 to 580 of the family's 1533-position model. The record is from RNAcentral. Lineage: Bacteria; Pseudomonadati; Bacteroidota; Bacteroidia; Bacteroidales; Bacteroidaceae.